UCAAUGCCAGUUUCACCCGGAAAUGAAGCGCCUUUGGCCACGGAAGCAAACGCCUCUGUCUUCCGGGCCUGCCCAUUGGUUUACGUCAUGUCCAGACCAGCGCGCGCUUCCACCGCAGUGCCCGCGCUUAAAGGGGCGGUCCCUUAGGGCGGAACUUGUGCGUACGCUGGAAAACCGCUGGGGUGCGCGAUUCCGCACGGGGGCGCACAUGCGCAGUCUGGGGCCACGGUCAGUCCACUGGACAUUUUCCAUGCCAAAUAGAAAUCCACAUUCAGCUGGAAUCAUUCCAUCGGAAAGAGGUCGAAAAUGUACAGUAGGCAUGCACAAAGGAUACCGCCUGGAAAGAAGGUAAAACUGGAAAACAGGAGGGAGGCGGGGCCCAAUUUUGGCUUCUCCUUCCG
RNAcentral lists this long non-coding RNA (401 nucleotides) under Homo sapiens (human). RNAcentral's name for it is "HSALNT0349248". The record is from RNAcentral. Lineage: Eukaryota; Metazoa; Chordata; Mammalia; Primates; Hominidae.